GGCGGACGGGUGAGUAAUACUUAGGAAUCUGCCCAUUAGUGGGGGACAACUCGGGGAAGCUCGAGCUAAUACCGCAUACGCCCUACGGGGGAAAGCGGGGGAUCUUCGGACCUCGCGCUAAUGGAUGAGCCUAAGUCGGAUUAGCUUGUUGGUGAGGUAAAGGCUCACCAAGGCGACGAUCCGUAGCUGGUCUGAGAGGACGAUCAGCCACACUGGGACUGAGACACGGCCCAG
Molecule: ribosomal RNA, 234 nt
Filed under: uncultured bacterium
Lineage: Bacteria
Description: partial 16S ribosomal RNA
Rfam family: Bacterial small subunit ribosomal RNA
Source: RNAcentral